Populus euphratica (Euphrates poplar) is the source of this 850-nucleotide long non-coding RNA. RefSeq lists it as uncharacterized. Lineage: Eukaryota; Viridiplantae; Streptophyta; Magnoliopsida; Malpighiales; Salicaceae. The record is from RefSeq and is a predicted model, not a curated record. The transcript is spliced from 2 exons.
GAUGGUUAAGUUUGGAAAAUAGGCAGCAGAUAUAGAGCAGUCAAAUUACAUUACACUCUUUUGAAUCUACUAUGUAGGGUUUUUUAUUUUUUUACUGUGCUCGCGGAAUAUCAAAUAUGCAGUAACUGGGACAUCUGCUGAUACACAGACAUGAUCAAUAGACAAAAUGACCGGCCAAUCAGUAGCUCUUAUUCUGCAAUAUUGCCUAAUUCAGUCGUGAUGAUCUGCAUGCACAGCUAUAAAAUGCUCAGCAGAACUGGUACCGGGCAUGCUAUCUUAAAUUACUAAUUAAACAACCUUGCACCAUAACAAUCGAUGUGGACAACAUACCAUUACCAGCUAGGCACCAGCAAGGCAAUACCUGCAUCUUAAGUGCAGGAAGCUUGCAUAAAAGUAACUGGACUCGAAUGUGUAACCUCGAAUAUGAUCCGAAGAGAGCAAUACGAGAAUUCAUCAGAUUUCCAAUCAUCCUAUGUGCACAGCAUAUGUAUUAGCAUUGCAUGUAGAGCCAAACAAAAGAAUGUUCCUCGAUCUUUUGAUUCUUUGAAGAAAAAACAGAUGAAGGCGUGAUAGAUACAAGAAAGAGUAGAAAACAUUCACCCUUAUGGCCACACACUGGAGAAAACUGUGAAGCGAAAACACUGGCACGUUGAGUUUUCAGCACUAAGCAAUUGUGGAAGGUUCGGAGAGAACCAAAAGCAUUUAGAGGACAGCAGCAAAAUAGAAUGAUAGAAAUCAAAAGCUGCAUUCCCCUUCAAGCAGAUUAAUGAUAGUAGCAACUUUUAGACAUUGUCCAUAGCAGUAUACACUCAGAAAACUUGUGCUAGAUACAAGAGGGGGGUCAGAAGUU